This 383-nucleotide ribosomal RNA is filed under the name uncultured eukaryote. Its description in RNAcentral is "partial 18S ribosomal RNA". It matches the Rfam family "Eukaryotic small subunit ribosomal RNA", at positions 592 to 976 of the family's 1831-position model. The record is from RNAcentral.
CAAUAGCGUAUAUUAAAGUUGUUGCGGUUAAAAAGCUCGUAGUUGGAUCUCGGCAGGCAGGGGGUGGUUCGCUCUUAGCGCUACUGCCCCAUUUGCCUGUGUGAUUGGCGGAGGUUUCGGGGUGCUCUUCGUUGAGUGACCCGGGGCGCCGUCAGGUUUACUUUGAAAAAAUUAGAGUGCUCAAAGCAGGCUUUUCACGCCUGAAUAUUCGUGCAUGGAAUAAUGGAAUAGGAACUCGUUUCUAUUUUGUUGGUUUUCGGAAAUCGAGUUAAUGAUUAAUAGGGACAAUUGGGGGCAUUAGUAUUCAGACGACAGAGGUGAAAUUCUUGGACCGUCUGAAGACUAACUACUGCGAAAGCAUUUGCCAAGAGUGUUUUCAUUAA